UGGGGAAUUUUGGACAAUGGGGGAAACCCUGAUCCAGCCAUCCCGCAUGUGCGAUGAAGGCCUUCGGGUUGUAAAGCACUUUUGGCAGGAAAGAAACGUCAUGGGUUAAUACCCCGUGAAACUGACGGUACCUGCAGAAUAAGCACCGGCUAACUACGUGCCAGCAGCCGCGGUAAUACGUAGGGUGCAAGCGUUAAUCGGAAUUACUGGGCGUAAAGCGUGCGCAGGCGGUUCGGAAAGAAAGAUGUGAAAUCCCAGAGCUCAACUUUGGAACUGCAUUUUUAACUGCCGGGCUAGAGUGUGUCAGAGGGAGGUGGAAUUCCGCGUGUAGCAGUGAAAUGCGUAGAUAUGCGGAGGAACACCGAUGGCGAAGGCAGCCUCCUGGGAUAACACUGACGCUCAUGCACGAAAGCGUGGGGAGCAAACAGG
RNAcentral lists this ribosomal RNA (429 nucleotides) under Acidobacteriota bacterium. Its description in RNAcentral is "Acidobacteria bacterium partial 16S ribosomal RNA". It matches the Rfam family "Bacterial small subunit ribosomal RNA", at positions 355 to 776 of the family's 1533-position model. Lineage: Bacteria; Pseudomonadati; Acidobacteriota. The record is from RNAcentral.